RNAcentral lists this ribosomal RNA (522 nucleotides) under uncultured fungus. Its description in RNAcentral is "eukaryotic LSU rRNA". It matches the Rfam family "Eukaryotic large subunit ribosomal RNA", at positions 86 to 626 of the family's 3401-position model. Lineage: Eukaryota; Fungi. The record is from RNAcentral.
ACGGCGAGUGAAGCGGUAACAGCUCAAAUUUGAAAUCUGGCCUCACGGUCCGAGUUGUAAUUUGUAGAGGAUGUUUCGAGCAUGGUCUGGCCUAAGUUCCUUGGAACAGGACGUCAUAGAGGGUGAGAAUCCCGUAUGCGGCCAGGUGCCUACGCUCAUGUGAAGCUCCUUCGACGAGUCGAGUUGUUUGGGAAUGCAGCUCAAAAUGGGUGGUAAAUUUCAUCUAAAGCUAAAUAUUGGCCAGAGACCGAUAGCGCACAAGUAGAGUGAUCGAAAGAUGAAAAGCACUUUGGAAAGAGAGUUAAACAGUACGUGAAAUUGUUGAAAGGGAAGCGCUUGCAACCAGACUUGCGCGCGGCUGAUCAUCCGGUGUUCUCACUGGUGCACUCGGUCGCGCUCAGGCCAGCAUCGGUUUUGGUGGUUGGAUAAAGGUCCUAGGAAUGUGGCUCCUCUCGGGGAGUGUUAUAGCCUAGGGCGCAAUGCAGCCUACCGGGACCGAGGACCGCGCUUCGGCUAGGAUGC